This 523-nucleotide ribosomal RNA is filed under the name uncultured archaeon. Its description in RNAcentral is "bacterial SSU rRNA". It matches the Rfam family "Archaeal small subunit ribosomal RNA", at positions 476 to 997 of the family's 1478-position model. The record is from RNAcentral.
CCGGCAGCUCGUAGUGGUAGCAAUUUUAUUGGGCCUAAAGCGUCCGUAGCCGGUUAAUAAGUCUCUGGUGAAAUCCGUGCAGCUUAACUGUGGGAAUUGCUGGAGGUACUAUUAGACUUGAGACCGGGAGAGGUUAGAGGUACUCCCAGGGUAGAGGUGAAAUUCUGUAAUCCUGGGAGGACCGCCUGUUGCGAAGGCGUCUAACUGGAACGGUUCUGACGGUGAGGGACGAAAGUUAGGGGCGCGAACCGGAUUAGAUACCCGGGUAGUCCUAACUGUAAACGAUGCGGACUUGGUGUUGGGGUGGCUUUGAGCUGCUUCAGUGCCGAAGGGAAGCUGUUAAGUCCGCCGCCUGGGAAGUACGGUCGCAAGACUGAAACUUAAAGGAAUUGGCGGGGAGCACCACAACGCGUGGAGCCUGCGGUUUUAAAUUGGAUUCAACGCCGGACAUCUCACCAGAGGCGACAGCUGUAUGAUAGCCGGGUUGAUGACUUUGCUUGACUAGCUGAGAAGUGGUGCAUGG